GUGCUCACUUAGGCAGCACAUAUACUAAACUUGGAAUGAUACAGAGAAGAUUAGCGUGGCCCCUGUGCAAGGAUGACAUGCAAAUCUGUGAAGUGUUCCAUAUUUUU
RNAcentral lists this small nuclear RNA (107 nucleotides) under Tupaia belangeri chinensis (Chinese tree shrew). Lineage: Eukaryota; Metazoa; Chordata; Mammalia; Scandentia; Tupaiidae. The record is from RNAcentral.